CANCGGCGGCUCGAGUGGUAACCGUUAUUAUUGGGUCUAAAGGGUCUGUAGCCGGCCGGAUAAGUCUCUUGAGAAAUCUGGCAGCUUAACUGUCAGGCUUUCAGGAGAUACUGUCUGGCUCGAGGCCGGGAGAGGUGAGAGGUACUUCAGGGGUAGGGGUGAAAUCUUGUAAUCCUUGAAGGACCACCAGUGGCGAAGGCGGCUCACCAGAACGGACCUGACGGCAAGGGACGAAAGCUAGGGGCACGAACCGG
This 254-nucleotide ribosomal RNA is filed under the name uncultured archaeon. Its description in RNAcentral is "partial 16S ribosomal RNA". It matches the Rfam family "Archaeal small subunit ribosomal RNA", at positions 474 to 727 of the family's 1478-position model. The record is from RNAcentral.